RNAcentral lists this ribosomal RNA (502 nucleotides) under uncultured bacterium. Its description in RNAcentral is "partial 16S ribosomal RNA". It matches the Rfam family "Bacterial small subunit ribosomal RNA", at positions 30 to 523 of the family's 1533-position model. The record is from RNAcentral.
AUUGAACGCUGGCGGCAUGCCUUACACAUGCAAGUCGAACGGCAGCAUAGGAGCUUGCUCCUGAUGGCGAGUGGCGAACGGGUGAGUAAUAUAUCGGAACGUGCCCUAGAGUGGGGGAUAACUAGUCGAAAGACUAGCUAAUACCGCAUACGAUCUACGGAUGAAAGUGGGGGAUCGCAAGACCUCAUGCUCCUGGAGCGGCCGAUAUCGGAUUAGCUAGUUGGUGGGGUAAAAGCCUACCAAGGCGACGAUCAGUAGCUGGACUGAGAGGACGACCAGCCACACUGGGACUGAGACACGGCCCAGACUCCUACGGGAGGCAGCAGUGGGGAAUUUUGGACCAUGGGGGAAACCCUGAUCCAGCAAUGCCGCGUGAGUGAAGAAGGCCUUCGGGUUGUAAAGCUCUUUUGUCAGGGAAGAAACGGUAGUAGCUAAUAUCUAUUACUAAUGACGGUACCUGAAGAAUAAGCACCGGCUAACUACGUGCCAGCAGCCGCAGUAA